AUGUGCAAGUGUGUCAAGGUGUGUGUAUCUGUGUGUCAUUGUGUGUGUGUGUGUGUGUAUGUAUCUGACACACAGAUACACACUGGCACACAGAUACACACACCUUGACUCAUAGUGUGUG
Non-coding RNA from Pelobates cultripes (western spadefoot toad), 121 nucleotides. The record is from the annotation of a GenBank genome assembly. NCBI's taxonomy places the organism in Eukaryota, Metazoa, Chordata, Amphibia, Anura, Pelobatidae.